RNAcentral lists this ribosomal RNA (459 nucleotides) under uncultured bacterium. RNAcentral's name for it is "partial 16S ribosomal RNA". It matches the Rfam family "Bacterial small subunit ribosomal RNA", at positions 338 to 795 of the family's 1533-position model. The record is from RNAcentral.
CCUACGGGAGGCAGCAGUGAGGAAUAUUGGUCAAUGGUCGGGAGACUGAACCAGCCAAGCCGCGUGAGGGAUGAAGGUACAGAGUAUCGUAAACCUCUUUUGUCAGGGAACAAAGGCGGGGACGUGUCCCCGGAUGAGUGUACCUGAAGAAAAAGCAUCGGCUAACUGCGGGCCAGCAGCCGCGGUAAUACGGAGGAUGCGAGCGUUAUCCGGAUUUAUUGGGUUUAAAGGGUGCGCAGGCGGUCUGUUAAGUCAGCGGUAAAAGCCCGGGGCUCAACCCCGGCCCGCCGUUGAAACUGGCAGUCUCGAGUUGGAGAGAAGUAUGCGGAAUGCGCGGUGUAGCGGUGAAAUGCAUAGAUAUCGCGCAGAACUCCGAUUGCGAAGGCAGCAUGCCGGCUCCACACUGACGCUGAGGCACGAAAGCGUGGGUAUCGAACAGGAUUAGAUACCCGUGUAGUC